RNAcentral lists this ribosomal RNA (292 nucleotides) under uncultured bacterium. RNAcentral describes it as "partial 16S ribosomal RNA". It matches the Rfam family "Bacterial small subunit ribosomal RNA", at positions 505 to 796 of the family's 1533-position model. The record is from RNAcentral.
GUGCCAGCAGCCGCGGUAAUACGAGGGGUCCUAGCGUUGUUCGGAAUCAUUGGGCGUAAAGCGUCUGUAGGCGGCUUUGUAAGUCGGGUGUGAAAGCCCCAGGCUCAACCUGGGAAGUGCAUUCGAUACUGCAUAGCUUGAAUGUUGGAGAGGAUAGUAGAAUUCCAGGUGUAGUGGUGAAAUACGUAGAUAUCUGGAGGAAUACCGGUGGCGAAGGCGGCUAUCUGGCCAAACAUUGACGCUGAGAGACGAAAGCAUGGGGAUCAAACAGGAUUAGAUACCCUUGUAGUCC